RNAcentral lists this ribosomal RNA (492 nucleotides) under uncultured bacterium. Its description in RNAcentral is "partial 16S ribosomal RNA". It matches the Rfam family "Bacterial small subunit ribosomal RNA", at positions 29 to 507 of the family's 1533-position model. The record is from RNAcentral.
AGUGAACGCUGGCGGUAGGCCUAACACAUGCAAGUCGAACGGCAGCACAGUAAGGGCUUGCUCUUACGGGUGGCGAGUGGCGGACGGGUGAGGAAUACAUCGGAAUCUACUUUUUCGUGGGGGAUAACGUAGGGAAACUUACGCUAAUACCGCAUACGACCUACGGGUGAAAGCAGGGGAUCUUCGGACCUUGCGCGAUUGAAUGAGCCGAUGUCGGAUUAGCUAGUUGGCGGGGUAAAGGCCCACCAAGGCGACGAUCCGUAGCUGGUCUGAGAGGAUGAUCAGCCACACUGGAACUGAGACACGGUCCAGACUCCUACGGGAGGCAGCAGUGGGGAAUAUGGGGCAAUGGGCGCAAGCCUGAUCCAGCCAUACCGCGUGGGUGAAGAAGGCCUUCGGGUUGUAAAGCCCUUUUGUUGGGAAAGAAAAGCAGCAGGUUAAUACCCCGCUGUUCUGACGGUACCCAAAGAAUAAGCACCGGCUAACUUCGUG